GUUGCCGUGGCCGAGUGGUUAAAGCGUUGGACUAGAAAUCCAAUGGGAUCUUUCCGCGCAGGUUCGAAUCCUGCCCACAACG
Nematostella vectensis (starlet sea anemone) is the source of this 82-nucleotide non-coding RNA. The record is from Rfam. Lineage: Eukaryota; Metazoa; Cnidaria; Anthozoa; Actiniaria; Edwardsiidae.